Molecule: unclassified non-coding RNA, 220 nt
Filed under: Hevea brasiliensis (rubber tree)
Lineage: Eukaryota; Viridiplantae; Streptophyta; Magnoliopsida; Malpighiales; Euphorbiaceae
Source: RNAcentral
GUUUUAUUCACAUCGAAUGCUAUUUGGAUAUAAUCUUCUUUGUUAAAAUGAAUUUUACCUUGAUCAAAGGUUUGAUGAUCCAUACUUUUCUUGUUUUAUGUUAUGCUUAUACUAUGUGAAGUGAUUGUACUUGCUACGUCUUUUAUCAGUUCUUUAUUCUCAAGAUACACUGCUAUGAACUAAUAAAGUCCUUUUUUUAAAUAUUUUUUGUUACUCCAAG